UAUCUUCAGGGCGGGGCGAAAUUCCCCACCGGCGGUAAAGUCCGCGAGCGCGUCAGCGUUGAAUCGGUGAAACUCCGAUACCGACAGUACAGUCUGGAUGGAAGAAGAU
This 109-nucleotide non-coding RNA is filed under the name human gut metagenome. Its description in RNAcentral is "FMN riboswitch (RFN element)". It matches the Rfam family "FMN riboswitch aptamer (RFN element)". Rfam says of the family: The RFN element is a highly conserved domain that is found frequently in the 5'-untranslated regions of prokaryotic mRNAs that encode for flavin mononucleotide (FMN) biosynthesis and transport proteins. This element is a metabolite-dependent riboswitch that directly binds FMN in the absence of proteins. In Bacillus subtilis, the riboswitch most likely controls gene expression by causing premature transcription termination within the 5' untranslated region of the ribDEAHT operon and precluding access to the ribosome-binding site of ypaA mRNA. The record is from RNAcentral. RNAcentral also lists the same sequence under 1 other name.